This 225-nucleotide long non-coding RNA is filed under the name Vigna radiata. RNAcentral describes it as "long non-coding RNA (VRAD_LNC015820)". Lineage: Eukaryota; Viridiplantae; Streptophyta; Magnoliopsida; Fabales; Fabaceae. The record is from RNAcentral.
GUUAACUUUGUUGGAUUAGAGGUUUGAGUCGCAACUUUAUUUUGUUGAUCUGUGAUUGGAAACAUUGUAAUUAAGUUAAUGACCGACUGUUUUUAUUCUGUCUUUGAAACCGUUUUUAAAUAUGUGUUUAAUUAUUAGUUGCAUCUGUGUUUUGAUUUUGUUUAUCCGCAUUCACAAACUUUUCAACAACCCUCCCCCCAACCUUCGUGUUUGACUUUAUUCUUG